UACGUAGGGUGCGAGCGUUAAUCGGAAUUACUGGGCGUAAAGCGUGCGCAGGCGGUGCUGUAAGACAGGCGUGAAAUCCCCGGGCUUAACCUGGGAAUGGCGCUUGUGACUGCAAGGCUAGAGUACGGCAGAGGGGGAUGGAAUUCCGCGUGUAGCAGUGAAAUGCGUAGAUAUGCGGAGGAACACCAAUGGCGAAGGCAAUCCCCUGGGCCUGCACUGACGCUCAUGCACGAAAGCGUGGGGAGCAAACAGG
Molecule: ribosomal RNA, 253 nt
Filed under: uncultured bacterium
Lineage: Bacteria
Description: partial 16S ribosomal RNA
Rfam family: Bacterial small subunit ribosomal RNA
Source: RNAcentral